Saccoglossus kowalevskii is the source of this 79-nucleotide non-coding RNA. RefSeq annotates it as microRNA mir-9. The record is from RefSeq and is marked provisional. NCBI's taxonomy places the organism in Eukaryota, Metazoa, Hemichordata, Enteropneusta, Harrimaniidae.
CUCUCGUUUUCUCUUUGGUUAUCUAGCUGUAUGAGUGUACAUGACAUUAUAAAGCUAGGUUACCAAAGACAAAAACAGA